This 512-nucleotide long non-coding RNA is filed under the name Vigna radiata. RNAcentral's name for it is "long non-coding RNA (VRAD_LNC001841)". The record is from RNAcentral. Lineage: Eukaryota; Viridiplantae; Streptophyta; Magnoliopsida; Fabales; Fabaceae.
GGCAGAAGAAAUAGUAUCCACAUAACCAAAAUAGGUAGACAUGUAGAAAGAAAAAGGGAAAAGAAGAAUGCAAUGAAAAUAUGCAACUAAAGCUACCUAAAUGCAACAGAUAUAACACUACACACAAAACAGAACAACACACUCACAACACAAGACAAAACAUAACACACAUUAAUCACAACAAAAGACCUAAAACUGAACUGUUGGUCCCCGGUAAUGGCGCCAAAAUUUGAUGGGUGUCGCACCCCAUGCAAAUUUUAUGAGCAUAAAGAAUGCAGUAUAGACUAGGAAGUGACUCAUAGGUUGUCUCUCAAGGACCAAAAUGUGGUUCGAGAAUAAGGUCAAACACGAAGUGGGGGGGUUUGUGAAGAGUUUUGUGAAUGCAGAAUGAACUAAAUUAAAACACGAAUGCAAACAGAAAUGUAAAAGGAAAUGUAAAAAACGAAAUGUGAAAACGGUUGGUCAUUAACUCAAUCACUAUGCUUCAAAUCACAGAUUAACGAGAAGUACAC